RNAcentral lists this ribosomal RNA (885 nucleotides) under uncultured bacterium. Its description in RNAcentral is "bacterial SSU rRNA". It matches the Rfam family "Bacterial small subunit ribosomal RNA", at positions 112 to 972 of the family's 1533-position model. The record is from RNAcentral.
AACACGUGGAUACCUGCCUCAAGGCUGGGGAUAACAUUUGGAAACAGAUGCUAGUACCGAAUAAAACUUAGUAUCGCAUGAUAUCAAGUUAAAAGGCGCUACGGCGUCACCUAGAGAUGGAUCCGCGGUGCAUUAGUUAGUUGGUGGGGUAAAGGCUUACCAAGACGAUGAUGCAUAGCCGAGUUGAGAGACUGAUCGGCCACAUUGGGACUGAGACACGGCCCAAACUCCUACGGGAGGCUGCAGUAGGGAAUCUUCCACAAUGGGCGCAAGCCUGAUGGAGCAACGCCGCGUGUGUGAUGAAGGCUUUCGGGUCGUAAAGCACUGUUGUAUGGGAAGAAAUGCUAAAAUAGGGGAAUUGGAUUUUUUUUUUUUAAGUUUUGACGGUACCAUACCAGAAAGGGACGGCUAAAUACGUGCCAGCAGCCGCGGUAAUACGUAUGUCCCGAGCGUUAUCCGGAUUUAUUGGGCGUAAAGCGAGCGCAGACGGUUGAUUAAGUCUGAUGUGAAAGCCCGGAGCUCAACUCCGGAAUGGCAUUGGAAACUGGUUAACUUGAGUGUUGUAGAGGUAAGUGGAACUCCAUGUGUACCGUUGGAAUGCGUAGAUAUAUGGAAGAACACCAGUGGCGAAGGCGGCUUACUGGACAACAACUGACGUUGAGGCUCGAAAGUGUGGGUAGCAAACAGGAUUAGAUACCCUGGUAGUCCACACCGUAAACGAUGAAUACUAGGUGUUAGGAGGUUUCCGCCUCUUAGUGCCGAAGCUAACGCAUUAAGUAUUCCGCCUGGGGAGUACGACCGCAAGGUUGAAACUCAAAGGAAUUGACGGGGACCCGCACAAGCGGUGGAGCAUGUGGUUUAAUUCGAAGCAACGCGAAGAACCUU